Nicotiana tabacum (common tobacco) is the source of this 459-nucleotide long non-coding RNA. RefSeq lists it as uncharacterized. The record is from RefSeq and is a predicted model, not a curated record. NCBI's taxonomy places the organism in Eukaryota, Viridiplantae, Streptophyta, Magnoliopsida, Solanales, Solanaceae.
CAGUCCAAUCUUUUUUAAUUAAUAUUUUUAAUUUUUUAUUCCUAAUAAUUGGUCUUUAUUCAGAAUAUGUGAAAAUGUAAGUGAUCACUUAUUACUGAAUACUCACUUAGAGAAUAUCGAAAGCCAACACUCAAUCCCUAAUAGUUUCCAACCCCAAUCCCUCUGUCAAACCCAAUCUCCGGCGAGUUUUCUCGUCUGGCCACACCUUAAUCGAGCGUGCUUCUAGGUCCGUUGAGGUGCAUCGAUUGCGGAUGAAAGCAGUGACGAAGACCUUACUUGAGUGUUGUUGAUCGUUGUUAGGCUUUCUAUUAUCAUGUUCACGGAUAUUUUAGUUUAGAAUAUUUUGUAUGCAAACUCAUCUAUUUUGACUUUUGAAUUGUUGAUCAAACAAUGUAUUCAUAUUUUAUUUUUGUAUAUGGAUAAUGCUAUUUGGAUAUUUUAAUUUUAUUUCGUGGUUUA